GAAAGAAUUUUUUUUAUUUCUAAAUAGAAUAAUUAACCUAAUUUUUACUUAAGAAAAAAAGCUCAAAUUAUAGUAUCCGAUAAAAAUUUUAAAAAAUUAGUUACGUAGUACCAAAUAUGUAUCGGUUGGUGUACCCAUUUAAAAAAAACAAAAAAAAAUUGGUACGAUUUCGGUGCGUACCUUACGGUACUUUAUCCAAAAUGGAGUACUCGUGCUUCAAAGACAAAAAAUCACCAUCAAUUAACCAUACAAACCACCAACAACAAAACCAUGCAUUUCCGUCUCAUUUCCGGUAAACAACAUAUAACACAGACUUAACAACAGUAGUGACACCAUUCCGUCACCUCCACAUCCCAAACUGAACAAUAAACACCACCAAGCCGCCCUCGUUCACCACCAUUUUCUUCUCAUGAAAACAAUAAACUUGUUGCAACAAUUUCUCAACAACGAAGCAAACUCGGUAGCAGCAAUAGAUUUCGUCUGAUAGCUCCUUCCUCUUUUCAUUCUUGUUUGUGUUGUUGUUGAACAUGUUGGACUUUUUCUUAAAUUUGUUUUGUUUCUCUUUGAUAACUUUGAGUGAAAACGAGUUUGGAUCCUUCCUUUUGAACAAACACGGAGUGAUUUGUUUUUGUUAAGUUUGAGUUGUUGGUUGUGUUUCUUGAUCGAGAGAGAUAGAGAUUGAGAGGAAAUCGAUUCGGCUUGAAAAAAACACAGAGAGAGAAGAAAGUUUACAUUCUUUU
RNAcentral lists this long non-coding RNA (740 nucleotides) under Lathyrus oleraceus (garden pea). RNAcentral's name for it is "Pisum sativum (pea) long non-coding RNA (PSAT_LNC003315)". Lineage: Eukaryota; Viridiplantae; Streptophyta; Magnoliopsida; Fabales; Fabaceae. The record is from RNAcentral.